RNAcentral lists this unclassified non-coding RNA (668 nucleotides) under Bombus terrestris (buff-tailed bumblebee). Its description in RNAcentral is "misc RNA ENSBTSG00005024287.1". The record is from RNAcentral. Lineage: Eukaryota; Metazoa; Arthropoda; Insecta; Hymenoptera; Apidae.
AUGGGUGUUGUGCAUUUCUUCGAUCCGAUCACGACCAUGGAAAAGGGGCUGUUAAUCGGAAAUCAGAUUCAACAAUAUGACACAGCUCGUGCAUGUCUUUUUUGCGAAGAAAGAAGACGGUAGCCAGAUCGAAAUAGAUGGCCGACCCACAAUCCAUACAGUCACACUGAGAGGCGAUAGGGAAACCACGGGCAGUUCCGUUGAUAAAUAGAAAUAGAAAGGAUAAGAAUAUCUUCAUUCGAGAACCGGACAUCACGGAAUUCCGCAACCGGGAAGGAAGCAUGAAAAUCGCCACGGUAGCGGGGCAUUUGAACGUAAAACAACUAUUACAGCCACGGAAAGAAACACGAAUAGAAAGCGGAAAAAGGAUGGAAAAAGGAUUGAAUGGCACGAUAAAUAUUUGUCGAUGCGCUAAAACGCAACGAAGUGUCGAGAGCGGCAGCGGGGACCGUAAACGUGAAAUAUACCAGAGUUUAUAGGAUUAUCCGCAGCAGAAUGGAACCAGGAGCAGAGCACGAGACGAGAUAGCCUCCGGUGUGCAUCCUACCGUACGACCCAACCAACCUGCAGGCUGGCUACUGCACGGGGAUGAUUCACGGUCAAGGACGUCGUAGCAACCCCUCCAGCUUUUCUCUGGCGCAACCCUCGCUUUCAUCCACCAACGCCAG